ACGUGGAUAACCUGCCUCAAGGCUGGGGAUAACAUCUGGAAACAGAUGCUAAUACCGAAUAAAACUUAGUAUCGCAUGAUACAAAGUUGAAAGGCGCUACGGCGUCACCUAGAGAUGGGUCCGCGGUGCAUUAGUUAGUUGGUGGGGUAAAGGCCUACCAAGACAAUGAUGCAUAGCCGAGUUGAGAGACUGAUCGGCCACAUUGGGACUGAGACACGGCCCAAACUCCUACGGGAGGCUGCAGUAGGGAAUCUUCCACAAUGGGCGAAAGCCUGAUGGAGCAACGCCGCGUGUGUGAUGAAGGCUUUAGGGUCGUAAAGCACUGUUGUAUGGGAAGAAAUGCUAGAAUAGGGAAUGAUUCUAGUUCGACGGUACCAUACCAGAAAGGGACGGCUAAAUACGUGCCAGCAGCCGCGGUAAUACGUAUGUCCCGAGCGUUAUCCGGAUUUAUUGGGCGUAAAGCGAGCGCAGACGGUUGAUUAAGUCUGAUGUGAAAGCCCGGAGCUCAACUCCGGAAUGGCAUUGGAAACUGGUUAACUUGAGUGUUGUAGAGGUAAGUGGAACUCCAUGUGUAGCGGUGGAAUGCGUAGAUAUAUGGAAGAACACCAGUGGCGAAGGCGGCUUACUGGACAACAACUGACGUUGAGGCUCGAAAGUGUGGGUAGCAAACAGGAUUAGAUACCCUGGUAGUCCACACCGUAAACGAUGAAUACUAGGUGUUAGGAGGUUUCCGCCUCUUAGUGCCGAAGCUAACGCAUUAAGUAUUCCGCCUGGGGAGUACGACCGCAAGGUUGAAACUCAAAGGAAUUGACGGGGACCCGCACAAGCGGUGGAGCAUGUGGUUUAAUUCGAAGCAACGCGAAGAACCUUACCAGGUCUUGACAUCCUUUGAAGCUUUUAGAGAUAGAAGUGUUCUCUUCGGAGACAAAGUGACAGGUGGUGCAUGGUCGUCGUCAGCUCGUGUCGUGAGAUGUUGGGUUAAGUCCCGCAACGAGCGCAACCCUUAUUGUUAGUUGCCAGCAUUCAGUUGGGCACUCUAGCGAGACUGCCGGUGACAAACCGGAGGAAGGCGGGGACGACGUCAGAUCAUCAUGCCCCUUAUGACCUGGGCUACACACGUGCUACAAUGGCGUAUACAACGAGUUGCCAACCCGCGAGGGUGAGCUAAUCUCUUAAAGUACGUCUCAGUUCGGACUGCAGUCUGCAACUCGACUGCACGAAGUCGGAAUCGCUAGUAAUCGCGGAUCA
Molecule: ribosomal RNA, 1248 nt
Filed under: Leuconostoc garlicum
Lineage: Bacteria; Bacillati; Bacillota; Bacilli; Lactobacillales; Lactobacillaceae
Description: bacterial SSU rRNA
Rfam family: Bacterial small subunit ribosomal RNA
Source: RNAcentral